Molecule: non-coding RNA, 23 nt
Filed under: Arabidopsis thaliana (thale cress)
Lineage: Eukaryota; Viridiplantae; Streptophyta; Magnoliopsida; Brassicales; Brassicaceae
Source: RNAcentral
UAUUACAUGUUGUGGUUUCGGUC